This is a long non-coding RNA of Branchiostoma floridae (Florida lancelet), 2771 nucleotides long. RefSeq lists it as uncharacterized. Lineage: Eukaryota; Metazoa; Chordata; Leptocardii; Amphioxiformes; Branchiostomatidae. The record is from RefSeq and is a predicted model, not a curated record. The transcript has 5 exons.
CGAGUCAGUGAGACCGCAUUUGAGAAACAAGUUCUAACGAGUGAUUAUCAUUCAGAUGAGGACAUUGCCCUCGUGAGACGGUCCCCGAUUUCGGUAGGAUGUCCAUUUUAGGCCCGUCGAGUAGUUAAUUGGUAUAUCCUCUACCUGCGUCGUUGAAAAUGUCAAAGGAGUAACAAGUGCAACAGGGGUCAGAUCUUCACAAGUCUCCCAGUGGGCAAGUCUACGUCAUGGGGCUGCAUGGGGGGUAGUCGUCGCCAUGACAGCCGUAACAUUACCGUCUGCGCAUUCUCCCGCCGCCUUCACCUGUGUCGCACAUUGCAUUUGUAUCUGGUUGUUGCCAAAACGCGCCGCGCGACAGAACAGAGGGCCUGGGGAUACAGGCGCAGCGAGCGGUGAGCGGUUCGUGCCUCAGCUAGAAAGGCGGGCCGCGGGUGCGUGGUCUUGUGGAAAACCGAGGUCGUGGCAGAAACAUUCUGUCAUGCCACAUUAGAAGACUCUUCUGAGGAGCUUUCUUAAAGGAAUAGCGACGCCUUCAAGUGGCAGUAGACGCUCUAAACCACUGAGGACCGGUUGUGCAGAAGAAUAUUCUUCCGUCCUGACUUGGCAAGACGUUCGUUAAGCUUUCCUUUUCAAGAAAGGAUUGAAGACAUUCCGGGAGUCGUGAGGUUGAAGUAAGACAGGUGUGCCGGCGCCUAAGGUAAACACAGGUGUGCCGGCCGACAGGAGACCCACAAACCACGACACACGGCCAAGUUUGACUGCCGCGGACGGACACAGCAUCCGUGCUGGCGGCUUGACAAGUGGACUACAAACCCACUAUAUCGACGUUGGAGACGAAUUCAGAGACAGAGAUGGCGUCCUUAAGGGUUGUUCUCGUCCUACUCCUGGUGGUUGUGAUGUCAUCAUUCUCCGCUCCUGUUCCCGCCAAAUCUGACGACAAGACAGGGAAUGGCGUAUCUACAGAGGAGGAAAAGAUCAGAGAAGUCCAGUACGCGCCUACAGUUAACGAGGAUGAGUGCUAUGAGGAUCCAAAAGGAAAUAUACAUUUCCAAGGCAUAAAGUGCUGGGACCCCAGCUGGGCCGUGCUGAGUGACCCGCUUUGUGUGCGGACCUGGGAGGACGACAGGUGCUGUCCCACAGUGCUUUGUGCCUGAGAAAACUGCUCUUCACAAACUUUGAGGCAGAAAAUGGACUGACUAACACAUAGCAAAGCUCACGUGGUGACCAUUUGGGGUGUUCAAAAAAUACAUGUUGCAGUUAAGUAUGGACUCUAAGUUUUUGUCAUAAAGUGUCUUAUAGCAAGUCGAUAAUUUAUGCAGAUUUUUAUGACGUCAUGAUGACGUCAUCAAGUAUUAUGGGGCCACGCCCAUUUUCAUAAAAAAUGAACCUACAGGCUGGGGAUUGGAGAUAAGUCAAUGGAAUCUCUUGUAAUAUGUCCAUAAUAGUGAUGGCAAGCCAUACAAAUUCGUUUUUUAUCAGAUUUCCAAAUACUGAUUUUUAACGAAUUUUUUUUGGUGAAUUUUUAUUGCCCCCGAUGCCCCCAGCCCUGGGGGACUCAAAUAGCACCGCAUCGUUUCGGCUGAAUUUGAAGCUUUAGUUUUGAGGGUUAACUCCACAAAAAUGACUCUUUUUCCCUUGUUUUAUGAUUAGUUUUACCAUGGGUUCGUCGCAAAAAUCAUUCAUCUAUCGUAGUUGUAACAUAUUUCCCCUUCAGGGGCCGUAAAAGAGCCAAAAUCGCCGGGUUUUGGCCUGCAUUCCAUAGGCCCCGCUCACUUCCGGUAAAAUGCGAGGUCAUUGACCUUUGAGCACGCAGUAUUCCAUAGAAAUGGCGCGAUUUGCAAAUCCAAGCCGGGGGUGACUCCGCAAAACCUGCCAGCCCGAAAUAAACAACAACACGCGAUGACGUCACGGCCAUGCCAGCAAGCCAAGAUGGCGGACUCGGUGAGAGGCGAAUCCCGCCGAGCGCUUUGUGGCGAAGUUUGGGCCGGAAAACGGCCGUAUACAGGGAUAUGUCCUACAAAGUAUUGUAGGACAAGUCUUUAGGAUUAUUCUGAUGCCUUUUGGAGACACUCUAUCCGUUUUUUCUGGAGAUACGGACUUGUUUUUGAUGCCGGACCCUCACGUCCCUUUGUUAUGCCAUGCCGCCACAUGAUCCGAGAAAAAAUUAUACACAUGUGCGCCCACGAUUUCCACCGUUGUCGGGACGAAAACAGCUAGCUUCUGCGCGGCUUGAUUGGGAUAGAUAGCCCCGAGAAAGGAGAUGGCCGAAUGUGGUAUGGAAUAAUUCAGCAAAUUGUUGAGUAAUUUUUCGUCGUAGUCAAGGGUCGGAGCACUAAAGCUUUUGUAUGUUUGCCCAGACGGUUACAUAUUUUACGUAAGUUCAACAUGGUAUCUACAAAAUAUCGACAAUCUGCAUGUUGUAAUGUUUGUCGGAAGUUAUUCUUCAACUACUCGAUGUGUAAAGAUAUUUGCCGUGUCGUCGGUCCGAAAUGUUACGUUACUAUGUAAUGGACAUCCAAGAAAGAAAGCCGUUACAGCAAGGAACUUUUAUCUUUGGUUACAACUUACAGUGAAGAUUGAAAACAUUGAAUCUAUUACAAUAAAAAUGAACGCUACCGUUACUGGUCUUUUGUCAUACUUGUUCACAUAUCAGUGCAGUCAAGCCGUUGGUUACGUUGCUAUCCAAGAAUGAAGAAAUAAAGCCAUUGCAGUUGACGCUAGAUCGGAGUUUGCACGGGCACUAAAUUUAUUAAAUUUAAAAUAAAAAUGAA